CAGGCCUAACACAUGCAAGUCGAACGAGAGACUCUUCGGAGUAGUAAAGUGGCGAACGGGUGAGUAAUACAUGGGUAAUCUGCCUUUGAGCGGGGGAUAACCAGCCGAAAGGCUGGCUAAUACCCCAUACGCUUCCGGUCCCUCGGGUAAGGAAGGAAAGCUGCAUCGUGGAUGUGGCACUCGAAGAUGGGCUCAUGGCCUAUCAGCUUGUUGGUGGGGUAACGGCCUACCAAGGCAACGACGGGUAGCUGGUCUGAGAGGACGAUCAGCCACACUGGCACUGAGAUACGGGCCAGACUCCUACGGGAGGCAGCAGUGAGGAAUAUUGCGCAAUGGGCGAAAGCCUGACGCAGCGACGCCGCGUGGGGGAAGAAGGUUUUCGGAUUGUAAACCCCUUUUAGGAGGAAAGAUGGGGUGGGUUUCCACCCGGACGGUACCUCCAGAAAAAGCCACGGCUAACUUCGUGCCAGCAGCCGCGGUAAUACGAAGGUGGCGAGCGUUGUUCGGAUUUACUGGGCGUAAAGAGCACGUAGGCGGUUUAGUAAGCCCCUUGGGAAAGCUAUGGGCUUAACCCAUAAAGGUCGAGGGGGACUGCUAAGCUAGAGGGCGGGAGAGGAGCGCGGAAUUUCCGGUGUAGCGGUGAAAUGCGUAGAUAUCGGGAAGAAGGCCGGUGGCGAAGGCGGCGCUCUGGAACGUCUCUGACGCUGAGGUGCGAAAGCGUGGGGAGCA
Molecule: ribosomal RNA, 729 nt
Filed under: uncultured bacterium
Lineage: Bacteria
Description: bacterial SSU rRNA
Rfam family: Bacterial small subunit ribosomal RNA
Source: RNAcentral